GGGGGGGGGGGGGGGGGGGGGGGGGGGGGGGGGGGGGGGGGGCGGGGGGGGGGGGGGUGGCGGGGAGGGGGGGCGGGGGGCGGGCGGGGGGGGGGUGCAUGGGAGUCGACGGUUUCGGGGGGGGUAACGUAGGGAGACUUACGCUAAUAGCGCAUCCGACCUGCGGGUGACAGCAGGGGAUCUUCGGACCUUGCGCGAUCGAAUGAGCCGCUGGCGGAUUGUCUAGUUUGCGGGGUAAAGGCCCACCAAGGCGACGAUCCGUAGCUGGUCUGAGAGGAUGAUCAGCCACACUGGAACUGAGACACGGUCCAGACUCCUACGGGAGGCAGCAGUGGGGAAUAUUGGACAAUGGGCGCAAGCCUGAUCCAGCCAUACCGCGUGGGUGAAGAAGGCCUUCGGGUUGUAAAGCCCUUUUGUUGGGAAAGAAAAGCAGCAGGUUAAUACCCCGCUGUUCUGACGGUACCCAAAGAAUAAGCACCGGCUAACUUCGUG
RNAcentral lists this ribosomal RNA (492 nucleotides) under uncultured bacterium. RNAcentral's name for it is "partial 16S ribosomal RNA". The stretch from base 73 to 492 matches the Rfam family "Bacterial small subunit ribosomal RNA", at positions 39 to 507 of the family's 1533-position model. The record is from RNAcentral.